Long non-coding RNA from Nomascus leucogenys (northern white-cheeked gibbon), 272 nucleotides. RefSeq lists it as uncharacterized. Lineage: Eukaryota; Metazoa; Chordata; Mammalia; Primates; Hylobatidae. The transcript has 2 exons. The record is from RefSeq and is a predicted model, not a curated record.
UGAAGGCUUGGAUUGUAUUUAAGUUGGAUCCCUUCCAGUGAUGACAGCUGUGCUAACGUCACCUCUCUGGUGGCUUUGUCCCCAAGAUUCGAGAUUACGGUGAGCCCUUUCAGGAAGCAAUGUGGUUGGACCUGGUUAAGGAAAGGCUGAUUACGGAAAUGUACACGGUGGCAUGGUUCGUGCGAGACAUGCGCCUGAUCUUUCGCAACCAUAAAACAUUUUACAAGGCUUCUGACUUUGGCCAGGUAGGACUUGACUUAGAGGCAGAAUUU